UCUAAACCCUAUACCAAAGCCAUUGGAAUACCUGGAUAUGAUGCUACUGUAUGUGUACAGAAAUUGCAAAGGGUUUUUUUCUCAUAAGGGACUUGUGUAU
Molecule: non-coding RNA, 100 nt
Organism: Chelonoidis abingdonii (Abingdon island giant tortoise)
Lineage: Eukaryota; Metazoa; Chordata; Testudines; Testudinidae
Source: RefSeq, a predicted model, not a curated record